GAUGAAGAACGUAGCGAAAUGCGAUAAGUAGUGUGAAUUGCAGAACUCAGUGAAUCAUCGAAUCUUUGAACGCACAUUGCGCCCCUUGGUAUUCCAUGGGGCAUGCCUGUUCGAGCGUCAUUUGUACCCUCAAGCUUUGCUUGGUGUUGGGCGUCUUGUCGUAUUACGACUCGCCUUAAAUACAUUGGCAGCCGGCACUUUGGCCUAGGAGCGCAGCACAUUUUGCGAUCGUAGCCCGUUGUACUGGCGUCCAUCAAGAACAUUUACCACGUUUGACCUCGGAUCAGGUAGGGAUACCCGCUGAACUUAAGCAUAUCAAUAAGCGGAGGA
This 330-nucleotide unclassified non-coding RNA is filed under the name soil metagenome. Its description in RNAcentral is "partial contains 5.8S ribosomal RNA, internal transcribed spacer 2, and large subunit ribosomal RNA". The stretch from base 1 to 120 matches the Rfam family "5.8S ribosomal RNA", at positions 35 to 154 of the family's 154-position model. The record is from RNAcentral.